This is a non-coding RNA of Prunus avium (sweet cherry), 1498 nucleotides long. The record is from RefSeq and is a predicted model, not a curated record. NCBI's taxonomy places the organism in Eukaryota, Viridiplantae, Streptophyta, Magnoliopsida, Rosales, Rosaceae.
GAAAACUUCACCCUUCAUAAUUCAUAUCCACUCAACGCAUAUCUUCUUCAUCUUCUUUCUUUCUUUAAUUUCUCUCUUGCAAGUUACAGCUAAGUUUUCUUUUUCUUAGAUGUCUUCUUGCUCUCUCACUCUCUUUCUUCACCCUCCUCUUCCUCCUCCUCCUCCUCCUCCUCCUCCUCCUCUUUCACUUCCAUUUGCCCCCAAAAAACCCCACCAAUGUUACUCUCUCUCUCCACUUUCCCGCACUUUCAAAUCCUUCAAAUCUCCCCGCAUCAUCUGCUUCUCUUCAAAUUCUUCCUCUUCCCAAAACGACCGCGAGGAGUCCCGCUGGCUCCGCGAAGAGCAGCGAUGGCUCCGCGAGGAGCAGCGCUGGCUCCGUGAAGAACAGCGCUGGGCCCGUGACCGCGACUCGCUCCUGCUAGAAAUCGCCGAGCUCAAGCUCAAAAUUCAGGCCCUAGAGCAUCGCCAGGAAGGAGGAGGGGCUUCAGUGUCGGAGUCCGAGACCAUCGCCAACAUCUCCGGCUUGUUGCAGAUUUUGACGGAGAAAAAUCAGAUAGCUGAGACAGCGUCGAGUUCCAGAGCCAUAGAAUUGGACCAUAUUCAGGAGGAGAUUGAGGAGGUGUCUGCCGUUCCGGAAGUGAAGGAGAAGAAGAAGAGCAGAAAUGCUUUGAGGAAGGGGUCGGAAGGUGAAGAGGUCCGAGCUAUGCAGGAAGCAUUGCAAAAACUAGGAUUUUACUCGGGUGAGGAAGACAUGGAGUUUUCCAGCUUCUCAAGCGGCACCGAACGUGCUGUCAAGACUUGGCAAGCCUCCUUAGACGCCCCUCAAGAUGGCAUAGUGACUGCAGAACUUCUUGAACAAUUAUAUACGGUGGCACAAAUUGAGGGUCUGGAUAACAGAGGGAGUACUCUGACUGCUACACAAAAGGAAGAUACAAAUGGAGCUGCAGUUACUUCUGUAACAGAAAUUUCAGAGGUCCAGCAAACAUUUGUGAAAGAAGGUGUUACAGAAGUAGAGGUAUCUGAGCAUCGUGUUUUUCUCCUAGGAGAGAACCGCUGGGAAGAUUCUUCUAGACUUAGCAGGAACCGAAAAAAUAGGAGGUGAAAGCAAGACAAUGAAUACCACAAGAAGGUGUCUUACUUGUCGAGGGGAGGGUCGCUUAUUGUGCACAGAAUGUGAUGGAACAGGCGAGCCAAACAUUGAAGAACAGUUCUUGGAUUGGGUGGAAGAGGGAGCAAAAUGUCCAUAUUGUGAAGGUCAUGGGUUUACAAUUUGCGACGUAUGUGAAGGGGCAACAGUAGUUUAGGUAUGAAAAUAUCUUCCCAUAAAGACAUGUGCAGUUUUAUGCUUUAGUACAUGUGUGUGUUUAAUGGUAGUUUGCAUUUAUAAACAAAUGCAGAAAAUCAUAUGUAUAUCUACUGUUUAUUAUACAAGUCAACGGGGUCUAGCUCAGUGGAAAAGGGCAAUGCCUUGCAAACCAGAAGUCUCAUGUUCGAACCA